CAGUCGCCGCGGGAAUACGAAGGGUGCAAGCGUUAAUCGGAAUUACUGGGCGUAAGGCGUGCGCAGGCGGUUGUGUAAGACAGGUGUGAAAUCCCCGGGCUUAACCUGGGAACUGCGCUUGUGACUGCACAGCUAGAGUAUGGCAGAGGGGGGUGGAAUUCCACGUGUAGCAGUGAAAUGCGUAGAGAUGUGGAGGAACACCGAUGGCGAAGGCAGCCCCCUGGGCCAAUACUGACGCCCAUGCACGAAAGCGUGGGGAGCAAACAGGAUUAGAUACCCGGGUAGUCCCUGUCUCUUAUAC
Molecule: ribosomal RNA, 301 nt
Filed under: uncultured bacterium
Lineage: Bacteria
Description: partial 16S ribosomal RNA
Rfam family: Bacterial small subunit ribosomal RNA
Source: RNAcentral